This 346-nucleotide unclassified non-coding RNA is filed under the name Atriplex nummularia. RNAcentral's name for it is "partial external transcribed spacer". Lineage: Eukaryota; Viridiplantae; Streptophyta; Magnoliopsida; Caryophyllales; Amaranthaceae. The record is from RNAcentral.
GCAGGAUCAACCAGGUAGCACUCCUUGUUYGACACCGGCACGCAUGAGCCAUCUCUUUUGAGGGAGAGGGUCACCUCGUACGCGGAAGUCGUCUGUGCUUAGCGUAAAACGCUGAAUUGGGCAUGYGACGAAUGAACGUCCAUUCCCUCUCAACAUUCUGCAUCCCGGGGCACAACUAGAGGCCGUACACCUGACCAUCAACGCCUUGUUUUCGUCGUCGAGGUUGGGGGACGGAUCCAGCUACAAUGGUCCACCGAACACCCGGAAGGAUAUCUGGCGGAAACGAAUGAUUUAGGAAAACAAUACCGUCGGUAGGAACGAAACACAGAAAACCUUACCUCGCCCA